This 491-nucleotide ribosomal RNA is filed under the name Veillonella sp. oral clone R10. RNAcentral's name for it is "bacterial SSU rRNA". It matches the Rfam family "Bacterial small subunit ribosomal RNA", at positions 28 to 489 of the family's 1533-position model. The record is from RNAcentral. Lineage: Bacteria; Bacillati; Bacillota; Negativicutes; Veillonellales; Veillonellaceae.
GACGAACGCUGGCGGCGUGCUUAACACAUGCAAGUCGAACGAAGAGCGAUGGAAGCUUGCUUCUAUCAAUCUUAGUGGCGAACGGGUGAGUAACGCGUAAUCAACCUGCCCUUCAGAGGGGGACAACAGUUGGAAACGACUGCUAAUACCGCAUACGAUCCAACCUCGGCAUCGAGGAUGGAUGAAAGGUGGCCUCUAUUUAUAAGCUAUCACUGAAGGAGGGGAUUGCGUCUGAUUAGCUAGUUGGAGGGGUAACGGCCCACCAAGGCAAUGAUCAGUAGCCGGUCUGAGAGGAUGAACGGCCACAUUGGGACUGAGACACGGCCCAGACUCCUACGGGAGGCAGCAGUGGGGAAUCUUCCGCAAUGGACGAAAGUCUGACGGAGCAACGCCGCGUGAGUGAUGACGGCCUUCGGGUUGUAAAGCUCUGUUAAUCGGGACGAAUGAUCCUCUUGCGAAUAGUGGAGGAAGGUGUGGUACCGGAAUAGAAU